This 233-nucleotide ribosomal RNA is filed under the name Rugosibacter sp. Its description in RNAcentral is "partial 23S ribosomal RNA". It matches the Rfam family "Bacterial large subunit ribosomal RNA", at positions 2704 to 2925 of the family's 2925-position model. The record is from RNAcentral. Lineage: Bacteria; Pseudomonadati; Pseudomonadota; Betaproteobacteria; Nitrosomonadales; Sterolibacteriaceae.
AACCUCUGGUGUACCGGUUGUGACGCCAGUCGCAUCGCCGGGUAGCUAAGUUCGGAAGAGAUAACCGCUGAAAGCAUCUAAGCGGGAAACUCGCCUCAAGAUGAGAUAUCCCGGGGAUUCGAUCCCCCUGAAGGGUCGUCCAAGACCAGGACGUUGAUAGGCAGGGUGUGGAAGCGCAGCAAUGCGUUAAGCUAACCUGUACUAAUUGCCCGUGAGGCUUGACCCUAUAACAG